GGCCGAUGAUGUAAGAAAUAUUUGCUACUCUUGAUGGUAAUUGGUAAACAAUCCCACCUGAUGAUUCCUUUCCACCGAGAUCUCUGAGGCC
Small nucleolar RNA from Alnus glutinosa, 91 nucleotides. RefSeq annotates it as small nucleolar RNA SNORD24. The record is from RefSeq and is a predicted model, not a curated record. The transcript has a single exon. NCBI's taxonomy places the organism in Eukaryota, Viridiplantae, Streptophyta, Magnoliopsida, Fagales, Betulaceae.